GACAGAGGGUGCAAACGUUGUUCGGAAUUACUGGGCGUAAAGCGUGUGUAGGCGGUCAUGUAAGUCAGGUGUGAAAUCCCAGGGCUCAACCUUGGAAGUGCACUUGAUACUGCGUGGCUUGAGUACCGGAGAGGUUGGUGGAAUUCUCGGUGUAGAGGUGAAAUUCGUAGAUAUCGGGAGGAACAUCGGUGGCGAAGGCGGCCAACUGGACGAGUACUGACGCUGAGACACGAAAGUGCGGGGAGCAAACAGG
Molecule: ribosomal RNA, 253 nt
Filed under: uncultured bacterium
Lineage: Bacteria
Description: partial 16S ribosomal RNA
Rfam family: Bacterial small subunit ribosomal RNA
Source: RNAcentral